Molecule: long non-coding RNA, 672 nt
Organism: Poecilia latipinna (sailfin molly)
Lineage: Eukaryota; Metazoa; Chordata; Actinopteri; Cyprinodontiformes; Poeciliidae
Exons: 2
Source: RefSeq, a predicted model, not a curated record
GGUGCUGGAAAAGUUUGAAAACCUUGAAAAUACUUAAAAAUGAUUGGAAACUUUUCCAAAGUCAAUUGAAAGCUGAUUCAGUGACUCUCUAACUCUCCUCAUGUCGUCCAGUUGAGGGGUAAUUUUGCUAUAAAAGGUUUUCUGGUGAUUUCUGGGAGGCGUCUCACAGAAACAGACUAAUUUCCGUUUUCUUCUGUCCGUCUGUGAAAAGAUGGCCGUGCAAAUCGCUCAGGCUGCUGAUUGCCGCGACUUUGUGCAUCGCAAACAGGAAGAGGAAGCGUUGAGGGCAGCAAGGAAGAGGAAGAGGCAGAUCGCCUGGGGGUUUGAGGCGAAGCAACGAUGGGAAACCAAAAGCAAUAUGGGCUUCAUGUGAUGAAAAUGGAGGAAGAGGAGUUAAUUUGAUUAAAAAAGUGUUUUUUUUUCCUUUUCAUUCUUCUUGUAUGUUUUGAAGGCAUUGCAGCAGCUGAAUGUGAGGGGGAAAUGUCAGGCAGUCGGCUGAGAGAAAACCAAUCCAGAGUGAAGCAGAGAGAGGAAAAUAAUGAAGAAGCAUUCAAAUUAAUUCCCAAGGCGCCCACUGGUGUCUGCAUUGUGUUAUUUUUCAUUACAUUUCAGUGAUUUCAGCCUUUUUUCCCUUCCCUCCCCUUCAAAUUAAAUCUGGUGUACAUUACUGGA